Molecule: ribosomal RNA, 669 nt
Filed under: Triticum aestivum (bread wheat)
Lineage: Eukaryota; Viridiplantae; Streptophyta; Magnoliopsida; Poales; Poaceae
Description: partial small subunit ribosomal RNA
Source: RNAcentral
GAAGAUGUCUUAAGCUUUGCUCUAGCCUACAACAUGAUUGUAGCUAACACCCUCUUUAGAAAGAGAGAAUCACAUCUGGUGACUUUUAGUAGUGGCCAACACUCUAGCCAGAUUGAUUUCAUCCUCUCGAGAAGAGAAGAUAGGCGUACAUGCCUAGACUGUAAGGUGAUACCUGGGGAGAGUGUUGUACCCCAGCAUAAGCUGGUGGUUGCUGACUUCCGCUUUCGAAUUCGUGUCCAGCGGGAUAAGCGUGCCAAGGUCACUAGAAUGAAGUGGUGGAAGCUCAAGGGGGAGGUAGCUCAGGUGUUCAAGGAGAGGGUAUUUAAGGAGGGCCCUUGGGAGGAAGGAGGGGAUGCGGACAAUGUGUGGAUGAAGAUGGCGACUUGCAUUCGUAAGGUGGCCUCGGAGGAGUUUGGAGUGUCCAGGGGAAGGAGAAGCAAAGAUAAGGAUACCUGGUGGUGGAAUGAUGAUGUCCAGAAGGUGCUUAAAGAGAAGAAAGAUUGCUUCAGACGCCUAUACCUGGAUAGGAGUGCAGACAACAUAGAGAAGUACAAGAUGGCGAAGAAGGCCGUAAAGCGAGCUGUUGGUGAAGCAAGGGGUCGGGCAUAUGAGGACCUCUACCAACGGUUAGGCACGAAGGAAGGUGAAAGGGACAUCUAUAAGAUGGCU